CGUUAGUUGCUUAACGCGUGAAGGCGAGCACUCUAGACGAACUGCCGUUGCAAACGGAGGAAGUGGGAUGACGUCAAAUCAUCAUGCCCUUAUGUUCUGGGCUACACACGUGCUACAAUGGCCGGUACAGACGGACGCAAAGCCGCGAGGUGGAGCAAAUCCUAAAAAGCCGGUCUCAGUUCGGAUUGCAGGCUGCAAUUCGCCUGCAUGAAGUCGGAAUCGCUAGUAAUCGCAGGUCAGCAUACUGCGGUGAAUACGUUCCCGGGCCUU
This 270-nucleotide ribosomal RNA is filed under the name uncultured Bacillus sp. RNAcentral describes it as "partial 16S ribosomal RNA". It matches the Rfam family "Bacterial small subunit ribosomal RNA", at positions 1108 to 1382 of the family's 1533-position model. The record is from RNAcentral. Lineage: Bacteria; Bacillati; Bacillota; Bacilli; Caryophanales; Bacillaceae.